UAGGGAAUCUUCGGCAAUGGACGAAAGUCUGACCGAGCAACGCCGCGUGAGUGAAGAAGGUUUUCGGAUCGUAAAACUCUGUUGUUAGAGAAGAACAAGGACGUUAGUAACUUAACGUCCCCUGACGGUAUCUAACCAGAAAGCCACGGCUAACUACGUGCCAGCAGCCGCGGUAAUACGUAGGUGGCAAGCGUUGUCCGGAUUUAUUGGGCGUAAAGCGAGCGCAGGCGGUUUCUUAAGUCUGAUGUGAAAGCCCCCGGCUCAACCGGGGAGAGUCAUUGGAAAAUGGGAGACUUGGGUGCAGAAGAGGAGAGUGGAAUUCCAUGGGUAGCGGUGAAAUGCGUAGAUAUAUGGAGGAACACCAGUGGCGAAGGCGGCUCACUAGACUGUAACUGACGCUGAGGCUCGAAAGCGUGGGGAGCAAACAGG
RNAcentral lists this ribosomal RNA (429 nucleotides) under Gemmatimonadota bacterium. Its description in RNAcentral is "Gemmatimonadetes bacterium partial 16S ribosomal RNA". It matches the Rfam family "Bacterial small subunit ribosomal RNA", at positions 355 to 776 of the family's 1533-position model. Lineage: Bacteria; Pseudomonadati; Gemmatimonadota. The record is from RNAcentral.